Molecule: ribosomal RNA, 253 nt
Filed under: uncultured bacterium
Lineage: Bacteria
Description: partial 16S ribosomal RNA
Rfam family: Bacterial small subunit ribosomal RNA
Source: RNAcentral
UACGAGGGGGGCGAGCGUUGUUCGGAAUUAUUUGGGCGUAAAGGGUGCGUAGGCGGCCUGACAAGUCUGAUGUGAAAUCCCUGGGCUCAACCCAGGGCCUGCAUCGGAAACUGUCGGGCUUGAGUAUGGGAGAGGUGAGUGGAAUUUCCGGUGUAGCGGUGAAAUGCGUAGAUAUCGGAAGGAACACCUGUGGCGAAAGCGGCUCACUGGACCAUUCUGACGCUGAGGCACGAAAGCUAGGGGAGCAAACAGG